CAGCAGCCGCGGGAAUACGUAGGGUGCGAGCGUUAAUCGGAAUUACCGGGCGUAAGGCGUGCGCAGGCGGUUAUAUAAGACAGAUGUGAAAUCCCCGGGCUCAACCUGGGACCUGCAUUUGUGACUGUAUAGCUAGAGUACGGUAGAGGGGGAUGGAAUUCCGCGUGUAGCAGUGAAAUGCGUAGAUAUGCGGAGGAACACCGAUGGCGAAGGCAAUCCCCUGGACCUGUACUGACGCUCAUGCACGAAAGCGUGGGGAGCAAACAGGAUUAGAGACCCCUGUAGUCCCUGUCUCUUAUAC
Molecule: ribosomal RNA, 301 nt
Filed under: uncultured bacterium
Lineage: Bacteria
Description: partial 16S ribosomal RNA
Rfam family: Bacterial small subunit ribosomal RNA
Source: RNAcentral